UGGGGAAUUUUGGACAAUGGGCGCAAGCCUGAUCCAGCCAUGCCGCGUGCAGGAUGAAGGCCUUCGGGUUGUAAACUGCUUUUGUACGGAACGAAAAGUCUCUUUCUAAUAUAGAGGGAUCAUGACGGUACCGUAAGAAUAAGCACCGGCUAACUACGUG
RNAcentral lists this ribosomal RNA (160 nucleotides) under uncultured Burkholderiales bacterium. RNAcentral's name for it is "partial 16S rRNA". It matches the Rfam family "Bacterial small subunit ribosomal RNA", at positions 355 to 507 of the family's 1533-position model. The record is from RNAcentral. Lineage: Bacteria; Pseudomonadati; Pseudomonadota; Betaproteobacteria; Burkholderiales.